RNAcentral lists this unclassified non-coding RNA (309 nucleotides) under Hevea brasiliensis (rubber tree). Lineage: Eukaryota; Viridiplantae; Streptophyta; Magnoliopsida; Malpighiales; Euphorbiaceae. The record is from RNAcentral.
AGCAUUAAAAACUCAUCUUUUGGGAUGAUGAUGUACCAUUUGAAUCUUUUCUACUCUGUAGUAUCAUCCUCCAACUUUUUGGACUCGACAUAACGAAGAAUGUCAGGUGAGGAAUGUAUCUGGCCAGUGCUGAAGUAAGAAUGAGCAUAUUCUUCUAUUUUCUCCAUCCUGUAAACAUAGUUCACCAUUAUACCUCCACUUUGAAGAAGGCCUUUUUCGGAUCGAUCUGCCAUCCAGUUAAGUCUCUCAAUCAUUGCUCCGUUUUGCAAGUGAAAGUUUGCCACAGAAUCUAGAGCUUUUCCUCUCUUU